UAAUGCCUUCUUUCUGGCAAGGGGCUUAUUGGAAAGCAUUGUCUUGUUCUUGAAGCCUUGAAGACCCGGUUUUACGUUUAUUAAAACGUAUUCUUUCUUUCCUCUUCCCACGUAACAGGCCCCCUUCCUAACCCUCAUCCCCACCUUCAAGGGUUAAAGCAGUGUUUGCUCAGCAGCCAGUAUUUGGAUAGCACCUGGAAGCCCAUUGUGAUAUGGCUGUACUACUAGAGUACUCCAGUGGACACAGGGACGAGCACAUUCUCCAGAUCCUUAUUAUGGCUCAGUGUGAUCUUCAUAGACAUCAUAUUUGUCCCUCCUUUGACAUUUCUAUUUCCAGUCACUACAGUAACUGUAUACAAAAAAAUAA
This 367-nucleotide long non-coding RNA is filed under the name Homo sapiens (human). RNAcentral describes it as "non-protein coding lnc-TMEM150C-5:1". The record is from RNAcentral. Lineage: Eukaryota; Metazoa; Chordata; Mammalia; Primates; Hominidae.